This 442-nucleotide ribosomal RNA is filed under the name uncultured Propionibacterium sp. RNAcentral describes it as "bacterial SSU rRNA". It matches the Rfam family "Bacterial small subunit ribosomal RNA", at positions 998 to 1438 of the family's 1533-position model. Lineage: Bacteria; Bacillati; Actinomycetota; Actinomycetes; Propionibacteriales; Propionibacteriaceae. The record is from RNAcentral.
GCUCAGAGAUGGGUGUGCCUCUUUUGGGGUCGGUUCACAGGUGGUGCAUGGCUGUCGUCAGCUCGUGUCGUGAGAUGUUGGGUUAAGUCCCGCAACGAGCGCAACCCUUGUUCACUGUUGCCACCACGUUAUGGUGGGGACUCAGUGGAGACCGCCGGGGUCAACUCGGAGGAAGGUGGGGAUGACCUCAAGUCAUCAUGCCCCUUAUGUCCAGGGCUUCACACAUGCUACAAUGGCUGGUACAGAGAGUGCCGAGCCUGUGAGGGUGAGCGAAUCUCGGAAAGCCGGUCUCAGUUCGGAUUGGGGUCUGCAACUCGACCUCAUGAAGUCGGAGUCGCUAGUAAUCGCAGAUCAGCAACGCUGCGGUGAAUACGUUCCCGGGGCUUGUACACACCGCCCGUCAAGUCACGAAAGUUGGUAACACCCGAAGCCGGUGGCCUAA